Molecule: ribosomal RNA, 32 nt
Filed under: Apinagia sp. NPT-2011
Lineage: Eukaryota; Viridiplantae; Streptophyta; Magnoliopsida; Malpighiales; Podostemaceae
Description: partial 26S ribosomal RNA
Source: RNAcentral
UGACCCCAGGUCAGGYGGGAUUACCCGCUGAG